Molecule: RNA transcript, 1875 nt
Organism: Rhineura floridana
Lineage: Eukaryota; Metazoa; Chordata; Lepidosauria; Squamata; Rhineuridae
Gene name: protein shisa-2 homolog
Exons: 4
Source: RefSeq, a predicted model, not a curated record
GCUAGCUUCAAGUUCCGCAAAACAUUAUUGAGGUGGACUGUUCCUAGCUCAGUGGAACUUCCUCCCCAAGAAAGGUAGACUGUCAGUGAGGGUUGUUAAGGCCCAUGAAUCAAGACGACGAGCUCUGACGACUCCCCAUUCGGAUCAAGAGGGAAGUGUGAAAAGUCGAAGAGAUCCUUGCUGAUGGACAGGUGGGGAUCAAGACCAGCCCAGCUGAGAGAAGUUGCGUUUCCCGGCUUCAUCAAAAAGAUUUUCAUGGAGGGAUAUAAAACUAGAUUGAGAGGCCCUUAGAGCCUGUUUGGUUACUGGCAAAAGCUAGCUGGGUUCCCUGGACUAGGUGGGUCAGGUUUACUGGGGGUUGUUAAUUGGGAAAAAGACAUUUUCAGGCGUUGCCCAUCAUUUAGGGUAGGUCUGCGAUAUGGAGCGGGUGCUGUUGUGCGCCCUAGUCCCGUUGUUGGCUUUAGGGUGGGUGCCUGUGACGGCUGAGGGCGAGUUGUGCCGCGUCUGGAGAUACGGGACGGAGUCCUCGGUGGGGGCUUUCCAGUGCCCGGAGCGGCGCGACGGCGCGGACGCCGAGUUCUGUUGUGGGUCUUGCAGCCUGCCCUUCUGUUGCUCGUCGGCAGAGGCCCGCCUAGACCAGGGGCUGUGCCACACCCGAGGACAGCUGGAGGCGAUCUUUAUGGACGACCGCAGGGAAGGGACCACCGAGCCUCCGACUGAUGAUAAUCAACGUGCGAUAAUCCCCUCCGUCGUUUCGAUCACUGUAAAAAUGUAAAUGUACUGCCUUCGACUCCGACUUAUGGCAACCCUAUGAAUAGGAUUUUCAUGAGGCUGAGAGGCAGUGACUAGCCCAAGGUCACCCACUGCGCUUCAUGGCUAUGCGAGGAUUUGAACCCUGGUCUCCCAGGUCAUAGUCCAACACCUUAACUACUACACCACACUGUUCACCAGAGCUAUGUCUGGUUAAUCACUGCAGGAGUAGCUACUAUAUUUGUUUGCACUUGUGUGUCCUACAUCGCAGCCGGUUUCUGGAACUGGAUAAUGGAGCACAGGUUGCUGAGAGCCCACAGUGAGGAACUGCAGGUGGAGCAUGUUCUUCUUCCUCCAGGGCUUGUGGUCAGUGGUGGUUCUUAUUUGUAUGAUGCCGGCAUAGACACAGAUCCACCAUCUCUAGAUACUGAGGACCCUCAAGGUACCAAUGACUUGCCCUCUGCCUUGGACAACCCACCUACACUGCAGUUCAGUCAUUCAAGCUGUGGAAUCUCUGAGGGUGAGGAGAUCAUUUUGUCUCCACUACAUUAUCCAGCUCAUGUGCCACAUCCUGCCCUAGAGCCAACCAUGGAAACAGAAUCGUCAUUCUAGCCAAGGAUUUGGUAGGGGCCCAACCUGUAAAGCUCUGAAAGUCACUGAAAAGGCAAAACAUGGAGGAUGCACCUAAACACCGCAAACAUUGUCAGUGAAAGCAAGACGAAGUAUUUUUUAAACUUCACGUGAAAUACUUGGGUGGACAGCUCCUGGGGGAAUGUACAAUUCCUGGAAAUGUACUUUGGGCCAUCUUACCAAUGAAUAAUUCUCUUUGGGUUUUCUGACUUGUGGUUUCUCUACCUGUUGACAGGACCCAGGAAAAUGUCUCUUACGCUGCCUAGAAAAGCAUAGGGGUUAUGCUGCCUAGCACCCCAAGGUUUUAAAACUUUAAUAUUGUGUGAACACUUCUUUGUAUUAACCUUGAAGAAACUAAGCAGGAGUGUGCCUUUUGAGAGUGAAGUGCUUCUGGGAUGCAAUAAGCUGUUUUUAGCCUGGACAUUUACCAACUUAAUGGUUUUUUAAUUGUACGUCCGUAAUCAUCAAUAAAAGUCAUGUGUAGCAUUUUUUUAA